This 262-nucleotide ribosomal RNA is filed under the name bacterium M16. RNAcentral's name for it is "partial 16S ribosomal RNA". It matches the Rfam family "Bacterial small subunit ribosomal RNA", at positions 815 to 1076 of the family's 1533-position model. The record is from RNAcentral.
ACUGGAUGUUGGGUCAACUUGGACCGAGUAUCGAAGCUAACGCGUUAAGUUCGCCGCCUGGGGAGUACGGUCGCAAGACUGAAACUCAAAGGAAUUGACGGGGGCCUGCACAAGCGGUGGGAGUAUGUGGUUUAAUUCGAUGCAACGCGAAGAACCUUACCUGGUCUUGACAUCCACGGAACUUUCCAGAGAUGGAUUGGUGCCUUCGGGAACCGUGAGACAGGUGCUGCAUGGGUGUCGUCAGCUCGUGUCGUGAGAUGUU